This is a small nuclear RNA of Suncus etruscus (white-toothed pygmy shrew), 102 nucleotides long. Lineage: Eukaryota; Metazoa; Chordata; Mammalia; Eulipotyphla; Soricidae. The record is from RefSeq and is a predicted model, not a curated record.
GUGCUUGCUUUGGCAGCACAUAUACUAAAAUUGGAACGAUACAGAGAUUAGCAUGGCGCAAGCAAGGAUGACAUACAACUUCGUGAAGCAUUCCAUAUUUAA